UGAAAUUGGUUAUCCGCUAAAGCGACGCCGCGUGCGGGAUGAAGGCCUUCGGGUUGUAAACCGCUUUCAGCAGGGAAGAAGCGAAAGUGACGGUACCUGCAGAAGAAGCACCGGCUAACUAUGUGCCAGCAGCCGCGGUAAUA
RNAcentral lists this ribosomal RNA (143 nucleotides) under uncultured bacterium. Its description in RNAcentral is "partial 16S ribosomal RNA". It matches the Rfam family "Bacterial small subunit ribosomal RNA", at positions 366 to 525 of the family's 1533-position model. The record is from RNAcentral.